Ricinus communis (castor bean) is the source of this 499-nucleotide long non-coding RNA. RefSeq lists it as uncharacterized. NCBI's taxonomy places the organism in Eukaryota, Viridiplantae, Streptophyta, Magnoliopsida, Malpighiales, Euphorbiaceae. The transcript has 2 exons. The record is from RefSeq and is a predicted model, not a curated record.
AUGAAUUCAUAUCUUCAAGAAUUUAGAUUGGCUGUGGUCAUGGGAAUAUUCUUAUCAGAUCAGAUCCGGCCCUGCCACAGUGAUUUUUUGAAUGACUUCCGCUCUGUAUUCCACUAUUUCGCAGCAUCAAAGCAUUUUGGAGAUUUCAUGUGGAUUAUUUUUCUAUCGGUCAGCAACUGCAAAAUCCUCUUCUGUUACUUGGGCAAUACAGUGAUGAGGAAUUGUUUGAAGAAUCAAAUGGAAGGCUGAACCAUGCCGAUGCAGAAAACUCCUCUUCGGAUCAUGGUGGUCAGGUAAUUUAGCAAAUGCUAUUUGGGCUUUUUUCGUCAUCACAGUGUAAAUAUUUUGCUUUAUUGACCAUUGACAUUUACGAAGUCCUUUCUUGAGUGGAAGUGGAUUCCACCUUUAUAAGUACCUUUUAAGUUAGUACUUAUAUCAGUGACUUACCAUUACCUAUUAGGUGAAUUCGAAUUUCUCAUUGCAGUUUCUGGUUGGGGCA